GCGACCCCAGGUCAGGCGGGGCUACCCGCUGAAUUUAAGCAUAUCAUA
RNAcentral lists this ribosomal RNA (48 nucleotides) under Silene paucifolia. RNAcentral describes it as "partial 28S ribosomal RNA". Lineage: Eukaryota; Viridiplantae; Streptophyta; Magnoliopsida; Caryophyllales; Caryophyllaceae. The record is from RNAcentral.